This 380-nucleotide ribosomal RNA is filed under the name uncultured bacterium. RNAcentral describes it as "bacterial SSU rRNA". It matches the Rfam family "Bacterial small subunit ribosomal RNA", at positions 790 to 1168 of the family's 1533-position model. The record is from RNAcentral.
GUAGUCCAUGCCGUAAACGUUGGGCACUAGGUGUGGGGGACAUUCCACGUUUUCCGCGCCGUAGCUAACGCAUUAAGUGCCCCGCCUGGGGAGUACGGCCGCAAGGCUAAAACUCAAAGGAAUUGACGGGGGCCCGCACAAGCGGCGGAGCAUGCGGAUUAAUUCGAUGCAACGCGAAGAACCUUACCAAGGCUUGACAUUCACCGGACCGCCCCAGAGAUGGGGUUUCCCUUCGGGGCUGGUGGACAGGUGGUGCAUGGUUGUCGUCAGCUCGUGUCGUGAGAUGUUGGGUUAAGUCCCGCAACGAGCGCAACCCUCGUUCUAUGUUGCCAGCACGUGAUGGUGGGGACUCAUAGGAGACUGCCGGGGUCAACUCGGAG